GCGCUGCCCAGUGGCUUCCCCCUUCACACAGACAUCCUCGGGCUGCUGCUCCUCCACCUGGAACUGAAGCGCUGCCUCUUCACCGUGGAGCCCUUGGGGGAUAAAGCCUUCACCAGAACAGCGCCGGCGCCUCCUCCGAAACUUCUAUACCCUGGUCACCUCCACGCACUUCCCACCAGGGCCACCAGAGAAGACAGAAGAUGAGGUCUACCAGGCCCAGCUGCCCAGAGCUUGCUACCUGGUGUUGGGGACUGAGGAACCAGGCACAGGAGUGCGUCUGGUGGCCUUGCAGCUGGGGCUUCGGCGGCUGCUGCUGCUGCUGUCUCCCCAGAGUCCCACCCAUGGGCUGCGAAGCCUGGCCACCCACACUCUGCAUGCCCUCACCCCACUUCUUUGACUACCUAGCAGUGGGUGAUGGACACAGACAUGGGGCUGUUAGCGUCUCUCUGUUUAUUCGCUCACAAUAAUACACAGCCCCUGGAUGGGGAGGGGGUAGGAGGGGCUACAACAGGGUGGGGUGGGAGGGGAGGAGACAUCCACUUCCCUGGCCCCUCUCCCCUCUGUGCUUGGGGGGGAAAGGGAGGGAGGGGGACUCCCCCUAACCCCCCAGAAUGUAAACAGCAGCAGAUGAACAAAAAUAAAAAUACAAAAGGCCGGAGGAAAGUCCCAGGCAUCCC
This 677-nucleotide long non-coding RNA is filed under the name Homo sapiens (human). Its description in RNAcentral is "long non-coding RNA NONHSAT180516.1". Lineage: Eukaryota; Metazoa; Chordata; Mammalia; Primates; Hominidae. The record is from RNAcentral.